UACGUAGGGGGCAAGCGUUGUCCGGAAUCAUUGGGCGUAAAGAGCGUGUAGGCGGCCAGAUAAGUCCGCUGUGAAAACUCGAGGCUCAACUUCGAGCUGUCGGCGGAAACUAUCUGGCUAGAGUCCGGAAGAGGAGAGUGGAAUUCCUGGUGUAGCGGUGAAAUGCGCAGAUAUCAGGAAGAACACCAAUGGCGAAAGCAGCUCUCUGGGACGGUACUGACGCUGAGACGCGAAAGCGUGGGGAGCGAACAGG
RNAcentral lists this ribosomal RNA (253 nucleotides) under uncultured bacterium. Its description in RNAcentral is "partial 16S ribosomal RNA". It matches the Rfam family "Bacterial small subunit ribosomal RNA", at positions 524 to 776 of the family's 1533-position model. The record is from RNAcentral.